UACGUAGGGGGCGAGCGUUAAUCGGAAUUACUGGGCGUAAAGCGUGCGCAGGCGGUUUUGUAAGCCGGAGGUGAAAGCCCCGGGCUUAACCUGGGAAUGGCAUUUGGGACUGCAAGGCUUGAGUGCGGCAGAGGAGACUGGAAUUCCUGGUGUAGCAGUGAAAUGCGUAGAUAUCAGGAGGAAUACCGAUGGCGAAGGCAGGUCUCUGGGCUGACACUGACGCUCAUGCACGAAAGCGUGGGGAGCAAACAGG
RNAcentral lists this ribosomal RNA (253 nucleotides) under uncultured bacterium. Its description in RNAcentral is "partial 16S ribosomal RNA". It matches the Rfam family "Bacterial small subunit ribosomal RNA", at positions 524 to 776 of the family's 1533-position model. The record is from RNAcentral.